RNAcentral lists this ribosomal RNA (677 nucleotides) under bacterium enrichment culture clone SC-2_74. RNAcentral's name for it is "bacterial SSU rRNA". It matches the Rfam family "Bacterial small subunit ribosomal RNA", at positions 1 to 681 of the family's 1533-position model. The record is from RNAcentral.
UAGAGUUUGAUCCUGGCUCAGAUUGAACGCUGGCGGCAUGCUUUACACAUGCAAGUCGAACGGCAGCGCGGGGCAACCUGGCGGCGAGUGGCGAACGGGUGAGUAAUACAUCGGAACGUACCCAGAAGUGGGGGAUAACGUAGCGAAAGUUACGCUAAUACCGCAUACGUUCUACGGAAGAAAGUGGGGGACCUUCGGGCCUCAUGCUUUUGGAGCGGCCGAUGUCUGAUUAGCUAGUUGGUGAGGUAAAGGCUCACCAAGGCGACGAUCAGUAGCUGGUCUGAGAGGACGACCAGCCACACUGGGACUGAGACACGGCCCAGACUCCUACGGGAGGCAGCAGUGGGGAAUUUUGGACAAUGGGCGCAAGCCUGAUCCAGCAAUGCCGCGUGAGUGAAGAAGGCCUUCGGGUUGUAAAGCUCUUUUGUCAGGGAAGAAACGGCCGAGGUUAAUACCUUCGGCUAAUGACGGUACCUGAAGAAUAAGCACCGGCUAACUACGUGCCAGCAGCCGCGGUAAUACGUAGGGUGCAAGCGUUAAUCGGAAUUACUGGGCGUAAAGCGUGCGCAGGCGGUUUUGUAAGUCUGACGUGAAAUCCCCGGGCUCAACCUGGGAAUUGCGUUGGAGACUGCAAGGCUGGAGUCUGGCAGAGGGGGGUAGAAUUCCACGUGUAGCAG